RNAcentral lists this ribosomal RNA (497 nucleotides) under uncultured bacterium. RNAcentral's name for it is "partial 16S ribosomal RNA". It matches the Rfam family "Bacterial small subunit ribosomal RNA", at positions 28 to 507 of the family's 1533-position model. The record is from RNAcentral.
GAUGAACGCUGGCGGCGUGCCUAAUACAUGCAAGUCGAGCGAACGGACGAGAAGCUUGCUUCUCUGAUGUUAGCGGCGGACGGGUGAGUAACACGUGGAUAACUUACCUAUAAGACUGGGAUAACUUCGGGAAACCGUAGCUAAUACCGGAUAAUAUUUUGAACCGCAUGGUUCAAAAGUGAAAGACGGUCUUGCUGUCACUUAUAGAUGGAUCCGCGCUGCAUUAGCUAGUUGGUAAGGUAACGGCUUACCACGGCAACGAUGCAUAGCCGACCUGAGAGGGUGAUCGGCCACACUAGAACUGAGACACCGUCCAGACUACUACGGGAGGCAGCAGUAGGGAAUCUUCCGCAAUGGGCGAAAGCCUGACGGAGCAACGCCGCGUGAGUGAUGAAGGUCUUCGGAUCGUAAAACUCUGUUAUUAGGGAAGAACAUAUGUGUAAGUAACUGUGCACAUCUUGACGGUACCUAAUCAGAAAGCCACGGCUAACUACGUG